ACGAGUUUGAUCCUGGCUCAGAAUGAACGUUGGCGGCGUGGAUUAGGCAUGCAAGUCGAGCGCUCAUAGCAAUAUGGGAGCGGCGAACGGCGUAGUAAUGCAUCGGAACGUACCCUUCGGUCGGGGAUAGCCACGGGAAACUGUGGGUAAUACCCGAUGAUAUCUGCGGAUCAAAGGUGAGAUUCCGCCGGAGGAGCGGCUGAUGUGAUAUUAGCUUGAUGGUGGGGUAAUGGCCUACCAUGGCGAUGAUGUCUAGGGGGUGUGAGAGCAUGGCCCCCCACGACCGGAACUGAGACACUGUCCGGACACCUACGGGUGGCUGCAGUCGAGAAUCUUCCGCAAUGGACGAAAGUCUGACGGAGCGACGCCGCGUGCGGGAUGAAGGCCCUUGGGUUGUAAACCGCUGUCAGAGGGGAUGAAAUCUCCGGGGGUACUCCCCCGGAGUUGACAGAGCCUCAAAGGAAGCACGGGCUAAGUACGUG
Molecule: ribosomal RNA, 482 nt
Filed under: uncultured bacterium
Lineage: Bacteria
Description: bacterial SSU rRNA
Rfam family: Bacterial small subunit ribosomal RNA
Source: RNAcentral